GCACAGACCAGGCCAGAAAACGCAGAAACGCAGAAACGCAGCGACGGCGCCCUAACCUCACGUCUCGCGACCCAACACCUCCGGCAUCCUGCGAGCGGAGCGUCGCGUCCUCUCGCGACCCUCCUGUGACCUCCCUGAGCAGAACCCAGCGAGCCGCCGGCGACGACCCUCUUCUCCUACUCCUCUGAGCCCUCACCCUCUCUCAAAUUCCUCAACCUCUGCCGCCGUUAGACCUCCCUGAGCAGAACCCAACGAUCCGCCGGCGACGACCCUCUUCUCCUACUCCUCAGAGCCCUCGCCCUCUCUCAAACUCCUCAACCUCUGCCGGCCUUAGGGCUUAUUUGUGGAUAGAUAAAAGAAGUGCGCUGGAUCAAUUUCUUUAUUUCACACUUCUUUAUUUCACACUUCAAGAGUGCUGUUGAAUACAAUGAUGUUCUGGAUGAUGGGAACAACAAUCAUGUAAUUAUGCAGUUCAAUGACGAAAUACAUUCAUUAAAUAGGAAAUUUAGAAUUGCUAUCGUUGUAGUUGUAUGUACUUGGAUUGUGAUGAUGGAGAUGUAGUUGAUGUAACUUAUUUUGUGAUGUAACUUGACAUUUUGAUGUAACUUUAAAUGAUGUAACUUGUUUUGUUAUACAAAAUAAACUAGUUUUGUUA
This is a long non-coding RNA of Zingiber officinale, 655 nucleotides long. RefSeq lists it as uncharacterized. The transcript is spliced from 2 exons. The record is from RefSeq and is a predicted model, not a curated record. Lineage: Eukaryota; Viridiplantae; Streptophyta; Magnoliopsida; Zingiberales; Zingiberaceae.